CGAGUGCCCCCUCUUGAACCCCUGCCCCGCCGGGUUCUACGCGUUGGACAGCCAGAGGAAAUGCCUGAAGUGCCACCCCAGCUGUAAGACGUGCGUCGACGACCCCGAGAAAUGCACCGUCUGCAAGGAGGGGUUCAGCCUCGCUCGGGGCAGCUGCAUUCCCGAUUGCGAGCCGGGGACCUACUUCGACUCCGAGCUGGUCCGGUGCGGGCAGUGCCACCCCACCUGCAAGACCUGCGUGGGUGAGUGCACGGCUGGCCGGGGGCGUGGG
Molecule: long non-coding RNA, 271 nt
Organism: Myotis davidii
Lineage: Eukaryota; Metazoa; Chordata; Mammalia; Chiroptera; Vespertilionidae
Exons: 3
Source: RefSeq, a predicted model, not a curated record